This 468-nucleotide ribosomal RNA is filed under the name uncultured bacterium. Its description in RNAcentral is "partial 16S ribosomal RNA". It matches the Rfam family "Bacterial small subunit ribosomal RNA", at positions 28 to 507 of the family's 1533-position model. The record is from RNAcentral.
GACGAACGCUGGCGGCGUGCUUAACACAUGCAAGUCGAACGGAAAGGCCCUGCUUUUGUGGGGUGCUCGAGUGGCGAACGGGUGAGUAACACGUGAGUAACCUGCCCUUGACUUUGGGAUAACUUCAGGAAACUGGGGCUAAUACCGGAUAGGAGCUCCUGCUGCAUGGUGGGGGUUGGAAAGUUUCGGCGGUUGGGGAUGGACUCGCGGCUUAUCAGCUUGUUGGUGGGGUAGUGGCUUACCAAGGCUUUGACGGGUAGCCGGCCUGAGAGGGUGACCGGCCACAUUGGGAAUGAGAUACGGCCGAGACUCCUACGGGAGACAGAAGUGGGGAAUAUUGCACAAUGGGCGGAAGCCUGAUGCAGCAACGCCGCGUGCGGGAUGACGGCCUUCGGGUUGUAAACCGCUUUCGCCUGUGACGAAGCGGGAGUGACGGUAAUGGGUAAAGAAGCACCGGCUAACUACGUG